UGUGGGAUUGGGUCAAGCGCGACGAGCUCGACCGCCGUUUCAAGUCCUGAAGGCCUUCAUUGAUCAGCAUCGCGCCCCCUUCGGGGGCGAGCCGAUCUGCAAGGUCUUGCGGAUUGCGCCG
Regulatory RNA element from Burkholderia pseudomallei, 121 nucleotides. It matches the Rfam family "ALIL pseudoknot". Lineage: Bacteria; Pseudomonadati; Pseudomonadota; Betaproteobacteria; Burkholderiales; Burkholderiaceae. The record is from Rfam.